Molecule: non-coding RNA, 2203 nt
Organism: Anas platyrhynchos (mallard)
Lineage: Eukaryota; Metazoa; Chordata; Aves; Anseriformes; Anatidae
Source: RefSeq, a predicted model, not a curated record
UUUGCUGCAGUUGGGCAGCGGCGGGAGGGGGAGGAAGGUACCACUUCCACGAAAAAAGGGGAGGAGGGCAGAGAGGGGGUUGUUGUUUGAGGGCCCUGCCACAAAAGCUCUCCUUGGCCGAUCGGCUUCCUCUCUCUAUAUCCAAAAUCGGGUUCUUGCCUGGCUUCGUUGGGCUAGGGCGGUAUAGAAGGGGGCAGAGGGGAGGAAAGCCCUGCGAUCCCCCCCCGCCAGAUGGAGCUGGUACGGUCCCGCGCGUCCACCUGCAAGGCAGCGGCGGGGAAGCCGCCGGUUCCACCGCUCGGCCUGGGGGGGGGAGAUCCGGAGGGUUUCCCCGGGGCGCUCCCGCUGCGCGAGCGGAGGCGCUCGUUCUCACUGAAAAGUUCCAUUUUUUAGAAGUUACAAUUCCAGAUUAGCCCGAAUUUCAGCGUCCUCCACGUUAAAAGCGCGCUCGGGGAAAGCCGGUCGCUAACCCCCGGAGCCAGGCGCUGCGCGCUCCCCUCACAGCCCUCUGAGGGGGCGGGCGGGGAGCCUGCUGCGGGUCAGCCCAGCGCGAUCGUACUUCAAAAUCCCUCUUAUAACCAAAUAUUUUAACUAGAUUCGUCAGAUGUAAUUUAAAUUGAUUUAGACUGAUGUAGUGAGCUAAACCUGGGCUGUCCUGCCUGCACUGAGAGGAUCCCCAGUGGCUGUUUGGAGGCUGGGGCACGGGUGCUGGUGAGGGAGGUGAGGAGAUCCCUUGGAAAGAAAAUCCUAAAAUGCUUCACGCCUCGUUGCGUUUUUUAAAAAAAGGCUUUUAAAAAAGUUUUUUUAAGAGGCUUUCAAUAAAUAUUCCAACUGACCAGCCACAAGGCGUCAAGACAAUUCAUAUUACCUUAAUGUAUUUUUAGUCUACUAAUUAAAAUGCUUUGGAAGCUUCUAAUUAUCUCUGGGAGCUAUUUUUAAAAGCUCUGAACACUUUAUCUUCUAUGUCACGUGCCUUGGUAUUGAUCAGUUUUUGUCUACUUUGCUAAACAAAAGAGAAGAAGGCGACGUGUCUGGUGAUACCUGCCAUGAUUUUGUUUCUUUUUUUUAAAAAAACAAUAGGUAUUUACUCCACAUCAGAAUCUCCUAAGCACCAGACAUGAGGAAAUACAAUCUCCAAGGUUGUUUGUAGGUGGACGUAACACUGAAUCUUCAAAGGUGUACAUUGCAUUUCACCUGCUAUGAAACACUGAUAUGUUUAUAGUAAGCCAGAUCGGUUCCUGAUCCAACUCACUGUGUGGUUGUACAGCCAGCACUGCAUGAGAAAUGCCAAGGGCAGAAGUGACAGCAGGACCAUACCUUCUGGAAACAGCCCACACUUAAGUUCACUUAAAUUAAAGUCAUGCAAGGAAAUGACCAGAGAAUGAAACUAAAUGUGAAACAGCACAAAUUCUUGGAAGAAAACAUCACACCGCCUGCAAAAGUAUUACAGAUAAGACAUGGGAAGUCUGUUCUACAUAUUUGCUCGUUAGUUGCCAGCUGGGAUAUUGGAUUUGGUUUGGAGCAUUGGACUCAAGAAUCCAAAGAACUCAAGAGUCUGAAGAAAAGCAACAACGAUCAUCUAGGAGUAGAGAAGACAUGACCUGUAAAGAAAGACUGAACCUCCUCAAAAUAAAAGGACUAAAGGAAAAUAAAACCAAAGGUUCCAUAUGUAACAUGUUUUUUGCAAGAAGGAAAGUGAUGAACUAUCUUCUGGGUCUCUGGGUAAUGGAAUAAGAAGUUACGUAGCCUUUAGCAAGAAAGUCUUUGGUUGGAAUUUAGGAGAACUUUCCUGGCUGGUAUCAGGAAUAGUGUGGCCAGCAGGAGCAGGGAGGUGAUCGUACCCCUGUACUCUGUUCUGCUGAGGCCACAGCUCGAGUGCUGUGCUCAGCUUUGGGCCCCUCAGUACCAGAAGGACAUCGAGGCCCUGGAGCGUGUCCAGAGCAAGGCUACGAAGCUGGUGAAGGGCCUGGAGCACAAGUCCUGUGAGGAGCAGCUGAGGGAGCUGGAGGUGUUUGGGCUGGAGAAGAGGAGGCUCAGGGGAGACCGUCAUUGCUCUCUACAGCUACCUAAAAGGAGGCUGUAUUGAGGUGGGAGUUGUUGUCUUCUCCCAAGCAACAGGACAAGAAGAAGUGGCCUCAAGCUGUGCCGGGGAGGUUCAGGUUGGCAAUGAGGAGACAUUUCUGCUCAGAAAGAGCAGUCAGGC